RNAcentral lists this ribosomal RNA (494 nucleotides) under uncultured bacterium. RNAcentral's name for it is "partial 16S ribosomal RNA". It matches the Rfam family "Bacterial small subunit ribosomal RNA", at positions 28 to 507 of the family's 1533-position model. The record is from RNAcentral.
GACGAACGCUGGCGGCGUGCUUAACACAUGCAAGUCGAACGGAAAGGCCUGCUUUCCCUUGUGGAUUGCGGGUACUCGAGUGGCGAACGGGUGAGUAACACGUGAGUGAUCUGCCCCCAACUUGGGUAUAAGCCUGGGAAACUGGGUCUAAUUCCCGAUAGGACUGCAGGGUGGUGCCUGUGGUGGAAAACGAUUUUCUAGUGGUUGGGGAUGAGCUCGCGGCCUAUCAGCUUGUUGGUGGGGUAAUGGCCUACCAAGGCGGCGACGGGUAGCCGGCCUGAGAGGGUGGACGGCCACAUUGGGACUGAGAUACGGCCCAGACUCCUACGGGAGGCAGCAGUGGGGAAUAUUGCACAAUGGGCGGAAGCCUGAUGCAGCGACGCCGCGUGGGGGAUGACAGCCUUCGGGUUGUAAACUCCUUUCGACCGCGAGGAAGCCACCUGGUUGGAAGGGUGGUGACGGUAGUGGUAGAAGAAGCACCGGCUAACUACGUG